Molecule: long non-coding RNA, 4241 nt
Organism: Brassica rapa (field mustard)
Lineage: Eukaryota; Viridiplantae; Streptophyta; Magnoliopsida; Brassicales; Brassicaceae
Source: RefSeq, a predicted model, not a curated record
CAGCACAAAUGACGUAAGAAAUAACUAUCACAUAAACUGGAUAUGUAUCCAUUACAAUUCAGCCUUUAUCAGAGAGACAAAUGGCUAAGUUGGCCUAGUUUGCUGUUUCAUCCAAAAUAGUAGUGUUCAAUUUCGUAUGCAAGCAAAAAAGCCUAGAGGUUUUGAUUACGUAUCCUACAUGGAAGAAAUCGGCAAAGAAAAAAAGGAUGAAAAAGAAUGAUGCUAUGCUUUGGCGUUUGGUGGGUACCCAUUCGAAUACGGACUAGUUUAUAAUAUUAUGGGAUCAGAUAUUCUUAGAUACAAUAUAAAAAUAAGUAUGAUUUUUGGUAUUUGAAAAAUUUAUUUAGGGUUGAAGAUACUACUUUGGAUCUCUGGGUAUGGUUUUCCAGGUUAUUUGGAUUUUAGUUUUGAAUUAUCUGUUAUGGUUCAGCUAUUAAUAACACUUCAGGUAUAACUGUAUUUUAUAUGGUAUAAAUUAUACCACUCUAGAAAAUCUAUUCAGUAUUUUUUAUAGCUCAGGAUAAGAUAUGGAUUCAGUUUUUUCCAGGUUACUUGGAUUUUUUAGUUUUGAGUUAUCUGUUAUGGUUCAGCUAUUAACACUUAAGGUAUAACUGUAUGUUAUAUUACUCUCUCUGUUUUUAAAAGAUGCAUAUUCUAGAUUUUUCACAUAUAUUAAAAAAACUCAUUAAAUAUGCAUUGUUUUUUUGUGAAUAACAAUUUUCCAUAACUUUAAGCCAAUAGAAAUUUAAUAAACACCAUUAAUUUUUUUGAAACUUACAAUUUUUCAUAAAAUCAUACAUUGAAAAAGUAAAAAAUAUAUAUUUUUAAAACAAUUUUUUUUUUCAGAACAUACAUCUUUUAGGAACUGAGGGAGUAUACCAUUCUAGAAAAUCUAUUCAGUAUUCUUUAUAGCUCAGAUAAGAUAUGGAUUCAGUUUUUUCUUUUUGUUUGAGUUCGGUUUGGAUAUCUCGGGUAUCGCUUCUUUUUAUUUUUUUUGCCUAGGCCUAGAUGAUGAUGCAAUGCAAACUAAUCGGUUUGUUCAAGAAAACGGAAUCUAAUUAUAUAAAAAAAUGUUGGAGUCUCUCCUGCUGAGGACACGUCAUCAAAUAAGUAAACCACAGCUUGCCACGUGUCCUCCUCACACUACAAAAACUCGAUCUUCGUUUGGGUUGCGGAAGGGCUUUUACACAAGUGAGCUAUCUUAGUAUUGGGCCGGAAAAUCAUCAGACACUUAAGCCCGUUAGACGCCUUCGCUUUGUCGACGUGAAGCCGACUUUAGUUUCUAAGUUUCAUUGUCGUCUCAGAAAGCUGAUUAGGUAUAACAUCAAUGGAGAUUCUCAAAGUUUCAGAGAGAUGAGUCUUCUUCAUUAAUCGUUGCGUCUAUGUUGGUUCGUGUUGUAUCGUAUCGUUCUCGAUUCAUCUCUUUACUGGCGUUACAAGUUCCAUUGAUUCAGCGUCAUUAAUGAGAUCUUAACUCUUCUGAGCCACUGCAACCACGAUCAUUCAAUUAAUGAUUAUUAUCCCUUUCCAAGCGGUGGGUCUCUACCUAUAAAAAGAUAUCAUCCUCACAACUCCAACAGCAUUUGAAGAUGACCAGCAUGGUCUAGAGAUUGGCUUCUCCUCUUUCUGUCCCUCAACAGGUUUUGUUUCAAUCUUUGGAAUCUUUUUUUUUUCUGUAAUCUGAUAUUUUAAAGCGUUCAUGUAGUAACUCUCACGUCCUGAAUUUUUCUCACUCAUAUAUCAGAGUUGUUCCUUUGGAUUUAAAUCAUCGGAAGUGUUGAUCUUUGUCGUAUUAAGUUGUUAUAUUAGUCAGUGGAAAAUUCUGAGUCCAUGUAAUUAAGCUACCGCAAACUACAAUGUUGAAGCUCGCAUAUUGAAUUGUUUGGAAGAGCCUCUUCUAUUCACUUGGUGAUCAUCUUUAAGGAUGUUUUAGCUUCUUUAGUUCUCUGUUUUAGUACUGCAGAUUUCUAGGCUUCUUGUGAUUACUGACAUUGUUUCUUUUUGGUCCAGACACAAUCAAAUCAUCAUUCUACGAGGUCAAGAAGCUGCUCAACUCUAAACAUCUCUUCUUUAAGGAGAGGAGAUGUAUGCUUAUCACAACCGCUGCAGCCAUCUCGACAACUGCAUCAGGUUACGAGUCAGCAUCGUCUGGAGCAGCAUCACUGUUUUACGUGGCGGAGUCAGGAAACUGGAGAGAAUCGCAGGGAGUGAGGAAGAGGAAGAGUCGGAAAUGGCGGAGGGUUCAGAGUCUGAGACAGAGGAGACGAGCAAGAAGCAGAUGAGAGUGGAAGGAGUAUCGGCGGAGGUGAAGAAGAUGAGAGAGGAAGCAAGUGUAGGAUGAUCCGGUGAAGAUCAUGUGUGAGAAUAAGGAGUUGAUGAGGAGGAAGGCAUUGGAGCUGAAGGAGAGGAAAAUUGGGUACGAGUGGAGGCGGUGGAGAUGGAGAAGCAGAGAGUGAGGUGGAUGAGAUAGAGUAGCAAGAAAGAGAAAGCAAAUGGAUAAGGUUAACCGUUAAGCUAGAGAACUUGCGAGGAAGGCUUGAAAUGGAAAGGAUGGUUCUGAUUAUGAGGUGAAGAGAUAUUGAGUUGGCGGAGUUAAAGUCGUUGUGUAAACAUGUUGCAACCGAUUACUAUCGAUAUAAUCAGCAAAGUCAAAACGUAUUUGCAUGAUUGAUUCGAACAGAUUAAGCAUAUUUAUAAUUAUAUUUUCCUGAGUUUGGUGCAGAAUAUUUCAAACAAAAAAUUAGUUAAAAUAUGUAAUAUAACCUAAUAAUUAGUUAAAAUUUAAAAAUAUUAAGAAAAAUUGAGUUUUUAAAAUUAAAUAGAAACGGAGCUACCGUCUAAUAAAUAGAUUGUAGUACUGCAUUAUGAGGAGACGAGCAAGAAGCAUGCUACUCUCCAUUUUAGAUCAAUUAAUAUAAUUAAGUUUUUUGAAUCAAAAAAAUCAAACAAAGAGUAAUUGAAAUUUUAUGAAAACCCACAAAGAUAAAAGAGUUUAUAGUUAAAGCUAAAUGUUUUAAAAUCUACAUAAAUAAAUUAUUAACACAUAAUAUAAUGAAAAUGUAGUGAAAUACAUAACAUAGCCAAAAAUACUUAAUAUAACAAAAUAUAUACAUAAAAAUAAGCUAAAAAAUAAAAAUAAUUUACAGAUUAAAAAAUAAAAAAAUUAAUCCAACAACUUAUUGCUUAUUUUACAUUUCAUUAAAUUAAAGUAACCAAAAAUUUUAAAAGAGUGAAUUUAACUAUUUUCGAUCAUUUAGCUCAAGCUGAAGAAACUAUAGGAAAACCACAAAAAGUACAUAAUCAGAAUAUAUAUUUCAAGAAAUAAUUUUGAAAUACUCUCCAUUUCAGAUCAAUUAAUAUAAUUUAGUUUCUUUAAUCAAAAAAUCAAACAAAGAGUAGUUGAAAUUUUAUGAAAACCAACAAAGAUAAAAGAGCUUAUAGUUAAAGAUAAAUUUUUUUAAUUUCUACAUAAAUAAAUUAUUAACACCUAAAAUAAUUAAAUUUAGUGAAAUACAUAACAUAACCAAAAAGACUUAAUAUAACAAAAUAUAUACAUAAAAAUAACCUAAAAAUAAAAAACAAAUUUGCAGACAAAAAAAUAAUAAUAAGAAAUUUAAUCCAACAACUUAUUGCUUAUUUUACAUUUAAAAAGUCACCAAAAUUUUUAAAAGAGUGAAUUUAACUAUUUUCGAUCACUAAACUCAAGCUGAAGAAACUAUAAAAUAUUGAGAGAAAUCCGCAAAAUUACAUAAUCAUAAUAUAUAUUUCAAGAAAUAGUCUUGAAAUACUCUCCAUUUUAGAUCAAUUAAUAUAAUUUAGUUUUUUUAAUCAAAAAAUCAAACAAAGAGUAAUUGAAAUUUUAUGAAAACCCACAAAGAUAAAAGAGUUUAUAGUUAAAGCUAAAUGUUUUCAAAAUCUACAUAAAUAAAUUAUUAACACAUAAAAUAAUUAAAAUUUAGUGAAAUACAUAACAUAGCCAAAAAUACUUAAUAUAACAAAACAUAUACAUAGAAAUAAGCUAAAUAAAAAAAAUUAAUCCAACAACUUAUUACUUAUUUUACAUUUCAUUAAAGAAAAGUCACCAAAAUUUUUAAAAGAGUGAAUUUAAUUAUUUUCGAUCAUUAAACUCAAGCUGAAGAAACUUAUAAAAUAUUGAAGAAAACCACGAAAAGUACAUAAUCAGAAUAUAUAUUUCCAAAAAUAAUCUUUAAAAAAACAAAAUAUAACAUAAAAAUGAAAAA